GGUUCGGGUUCGGUUCGGAUAAUACCCAUAACCCAAAAUACCAAAAAACAGGAUCCAUUCGGUAUUUAUGUCGGGUUCGGAUCGGUUCGGAUUAAUUUUUAUCGGAUCGGGUUCGGUUCGGAUUUUCAGGUUCGGUUUAUUUGCCCAGCCCUAGUUUUGUAUAACAAAUGAUAACUAAUUAAUCACUUGUUUAGUGGGUCUCAAUCUUUUUUUGGUAAACAAUGGGUCUCGAUCUUUUUUUAAAAAUAAUGAAAAAUGGGUCUUAAUCCUUAAUCCCACU
This 280-nucleotide long non-coding RNA is filed under the name Brassica napus (rape). Its description in RNAcentral is "long non-coding RNA (BNAP_LNC000343)". Lineage: Eukaryota; Viridiplantae; Streptophyta; Magnoliopsida; Brassicales; Brassicaceae. The record is from RNAcentral.